RNAcentral lists this ribosomal RNA (241 nucleotides) under uncultured bacterium. RNAcentral describes it as "partial 16S ribosomal RNA". It matches the Rfam family "Bacterial small subunit ribosomal RNA", at positions 15 to 252 of the family's 1533-position model. The record is from RNAcentral.
GAUCCUGGCUCAGAUUGAACGCUGGCGGCAGGCCUAACACAUGCAAGUCGAACGGUAGCACAGAGGAGCUUGCUCCUUGGGUGACGAGUGGCGGACGGGUGAGUAAUGUCUGGGAAACUGCCCGAUGGAGGGGGAUAACUACUGGAAAUGGUAGCUAAUACCGCAUAAUGUCGCAAGACCAAAGAGGGGGACCUUCGGGCCUCUUGCCAUCGGAUGUGCCCAGAUGGGAUUAGCUAGUAGG